Molecule: ribosomal RNA, 108 nt
Filed under: Cordylochernes scorpioides
Lineage: Eukaryota; Metazoa; Arthropoda; Arachnida; Pseudoscorpiones; Chernetidae
Description: partial 5.8S ribosomal RNA
Source: RNAcentral
AUCACCAUACUAUUUUAAAAAUUCCAGAUUUUGUCUGAUUACAGAAGUUAAGAAACUUUGGCCCUGGCAGUACUUGGGAUGUUAAGAAAUGCAAUAGUUGCGGAUUCU